UACAGGCUUAACACAUGCAAGUCGAGGGGCAGCAUGGUCUUAGCUUGCUAAGGCUGAUGGCGACCGGCGCACGGGUGAGUAACACGUAUCCAACCUGCCGUCUACUCUUGGCCAGCCUUCUGAAAGGAAGAUUAAUCCAGGAUGGCAUCAUGAGUUCACAUGUCCGCAUGAUUAAAGGUAUUUUCCGGUAGACGAUGGGGAUGCGUUCCAUUAGAUAGUAGGCGGGGUAACGGCCCACCUAGUCAACGAUGGAUAGGGGUUCUGAGAGGAAGGUCCCCCACAUUGGAACUGAGACACGGUCCAAACUCCUACGGGAGGCAGCAGUGAGGAAUAUUGGUCAAUGGGCGAUGGCCUGAACCAGCCAAGUAGCGUGAAGGAUGACUGCCCUAUGGGUUGUAAACUUCUUUUAUAAAGGAAUAAAGUCGGGUAUGCAUACCCGUUUGCAUGUACUUUAUGAAUAAGGAUCGGCUAACUCCGUGCCAGCAGCCGCGGUAAUACGGAGGAUCCGAGCGUUAUCCGGAUUUAUUGGGUUUAAAGGGAGCGUAGAUGGAUGUUUAAGUCAGUUGUGAAAGUUUGCGGCUCAACCGUAAAAUUGCAGUUGAUACUGGAUGUCUUGAGUGCAGUUGAGGCAGGCGGAAUUCGUGGUGUAGCGGUGAAAUGCUUAGAUAUCACGAAGAACUCCGAUUGCAAAGGCAGCCUGCUAAGCUGCAACUGAC
This 716-nucleotide ribosomal RNA is filed under the name uncultured Bacteroidales bacterium. RNAcentral's name for it is "bacterial SSU rRNA". It matches the Rfam family "Bacterial small subunit ribosomal RNA", at positions 41 to 744 of the family's 1533-position model. The record is from RNAcentral. Lineage: Bacteria; Pseudomonadati; Bacteroidota; Bacteroidia; Bacteroidales.